GACGAACGCUGGCGGCGUGCUUAACACAUGCAAGUCGAACGGAAAGGCCCUGCUUUUGUGGGGUGCUCGAGUUGCGAACGGGUGAGUAACACGUGUGUAACCUGCCCUUGACUUUGGGAUAACUUCAGGAAACUGGGGCUAAUACCGGAUAGGAGCUCCUGCUGCAUGGUGGGGGCUGGAAAGUUUCGGCGGUUGGGGAUGGACUCGCGGCUUAUCAGCUUGUUGGUGGGGUAGUGGCUUACCAAGGCUUUGACGGGUAGCCGGCCUGAGAGGGUGACCGGCCACAUUGGGACUGAGAUACGGCCCAGACUCCUACGGGAGGCAGCAGUGGGGAAUAUUGCACAAUGGGCGGAAGCCUGAUGCAGCAACGCCGCGUGCGGGAUGACGGCCUUCGGGUUGUAAACCGCUUUCGCCUGUGACGAAGCGUGAGUGACGGUAAUGGGUAAAGAAGCACCGGCUAACUACGUG
Molecule: ribosomal RNA, 468 nt
Filed under: uncultured bacterium
Lineage: Bacteria
Description: partial 16S ribosomal RNA
Rfam family: Bacterial small subunit ribosomal RNA
Source: RNAcentral